This 21-nucleotide small nuclear RNA is filed under the name Arabidopsis thaliana (thale cress). RNAcentral's name for it is "snRNA_17713". Lineage: Eukaryota; Viridiplantae; Streptophyta; Magnoliopsida; Brassicales; Brassicaceae. The record is from RNAcentral.
GGGGUCCCAGUUCCGAACCCG